AGGCUUUUUGUAAUGAUUGUUUAAAAAAAUAAAUGUGUUCUUAUCAGUAUAAUAUCUGAUAGGACCCCCAUAGGGGGACCACAUCUAUAUUAAAUGGAUUUUUGUAAGCGGGAGGUGGAAGUGAGGCUUGCUCCAUCCACUCCACGCAUCGACCCGGUGCUGCAGUACCUCCGGGAACGGUGCACAACUC
This is a small nuclear RNA of Polyodon spathula (Mississippi paddlefish), 190 nucleotides long. RefSeq annotates it as U2 spliceosomal RNA. The record is from RefSeq and is a predicted model, not a curated record. Lineage: Eukaryota; Metazoa; Chordata; Actinopteri; Acipenseriformes; Polyodontidae. The transcript has a single exon.